GUAGAGCGUCGAUUGCUCACCGCCGGGGGUAGAGCACUGGAUGGGCUAGGGGGGCGCGAGCCUUACCAAACCUAACCAAACUCCGAAUACCGGCGAGUGGAGAUCGGCAGCCAGACGGCGGGUGCUAAGGUCCGUCGUCGAGAGGGAAACAGCCCAGACCGCCAGCUAAGGUCCCCAAGUCGUGGCUAAGUGGUGAAGGAUGUGGGACGGCCAAGACAACCAGGAGGUUGGCUUAGAAGCAGCCAUCCUUUAAAGAAAGCGUAAUAGCUCACUGGUCUAUCCAGCUGUCCUGCGCCGAAAAUGUAACGGGGCUAAAGCCACGCACCGAAGCUGCGGGUGUGCGCGCAAGCGCACGCGGUAGCGGAGCGUUCCGUAGGCCUGUGAAGGCAUGCCGUGAGGCGUGCUGGAGGUAUCGGAAGUGCGAAUGCUGACAUGAGUAGCGUCUAUGAGGGUGAGAAACCCUCACGCCGAAAGUCCAAGGGUUCCUGCGCAAGGUUAAUCCGCGCAGGGUUAGCCGGGCCCCUAAGGCGAGGGCGAGAGCCGUAGCCGAUGGGAAUGGGGUUAAUAUUCCCCAGCCUGCCGGAGCGUGACGAAGGCCAAGGGUUGUUCCGCCUUAUUGGAUUGGCGGGGCGGCCUGCGGACUUCCAGGAAACAGCGCCGGCAUUAAAGACCGUACCCCAAACCGACACUGGUGGACUGGUAGAGUAUACCAAGGCGCUUGAGAGAACGGUGUUGAAGGAACUCGGCAAAAUGCCCCCGUAACUUCGGGAGAAGGGGGCCCUGUCUUGGCGCAAGCCGAGGCAGGGGGCACAAAAGAGGGGGUGGCGACUGUUUACUAAAAACACAGGGCUCUGCGAAGUCGCAAGACGACGUAUAGGGUCUGACGCCUGCCCGGUGCCGGAAGGUUAAGAGGAGGGGUGCAAGCUCUGAAUCGAAGCCCCGGUAAACGGCGGCCGUAACUAUAA
Molecule: non-coding RNA, 965 nt
Filed under: Acidobacteria bacterium 13_2_20CM_56_17
Lineage: Bacteria; Pseudomonadati; Acidobacteriota
Description: bacterial LSU rRNA
Rfam family: Bacterial large subunit ribosomal RNA
Source: RNAcentral